Molecule: transfer RNA, 74 nt
Filed under: Loxodonta africana (African savanna elephant)
Lineage: Eukaryota; Metazoa; Chordata; Mammalia; Proboscidea; Elephantidae
Rfam family: tRNA
About the family: Transfer RNA (tRNA) molecules are approximately 80 nucleotides in length. Their secondary structure includes four short double-helical elements and three loops (D, anti-codon, and T loops).
Source: Rfam by way of RNAcentral
CCCUGGGUGGUGCAAAAGGUUAACACACUUGGCUGCUUACCAAAAUGUUGGAGGUUCGAGUCCACCCAUAGGCA